AUGAGGGCGAAGUGUGAGGCCGAGCACAUCUCCCCCGACAGGUCGGUGUUGGGGCUGUCCAGCCAGUCCUCGUCCGGCCCCAGCGCCUCCUGCGUCAGGAUGCUGAUGUCGUCCUCGAACAUGGAGUCCAUGGCGCCGCGCGAGUCCUGCCUGGGGGGACGCGAGCACCCCGGGGUGAGACGGGGACAGAAGCGGCCACAGCAGCUCUGGAGCCCUCGGAGCUGUGGGGCCACCGGGCAGGCCGGAGGGGACACAGGGCACACGUCACCUCUCCAACCCACAGAAAGGGGGGAGCAGCAGGGGAGCAGCCCCCCAAGAUGCUGGGGAGGAGCAGGGGACGGCAGAGAGCAUCCCGGCGGAGCAGCCCCAGGGGGACGCGGUGACUUUCCCAACGUCCCCCAGGGAGCGAGUGCCAGAAAUAGCGGCCGGUGCCGCCGACUCCCACCCCGCAACGCACGCGAGCUGCUUUCCGCCCUCCCACGCGGCACGGAGCCCGCGCGGUGCCCUAUAUACCGGCACUGCCGCUCACCCCCAGGAGCUACCUGGCUCAGCACAGCCCCAGCGAGGCCUCAUCCUGCCCGGCGUGCUCACAGCCCCGGCACGGCAGGGUUUGUCCCCAGAACGAUGGUCACAAAGCCACCUGUGAGCAGGGUGCUGGGGCCAAAGAGGCUCCCGCAAGGCUCUGCUGCCCGAUGCCCCCCUGCACUCACCAGGGGCCAGGCUGCUGGCAGUGCUGUCCCCACCGAGCUGGUCGCUAUUUCGAGGCACACAAUUAACGGGAGCCCUGUGUGCGGCGCAGCAGCCACCCAGCCCGCGGGGAGCGAGGAGAUCACACCCGGAGCCGGCCAGGGGGCAGCGGGGGCAGCUCGCCCCAUCCCACCCGCGGGCAGCGGCGCAGCCUCAUCCGGGAGCCGCGGCCACACAAAUAAUUCAUGGCAGCAGGCAGGGAAGGAGGCGAGCUCCGCGGGGGGGCAGGCGGGGACAGCUGGGCCCCCCCCCAGCCACGGCCAGAGCCUGGGGCCAGCNNNNNNNNNNGUGAGCAGGGUGCUGGGGCCAAAGAGGCUCCCGCAAGGCUCUGCUGCCCGAUGCCCCCCUGCACUCAGCGGGGACCAGGCUGCUGGCAGUGCUGUCCCCGCCGAGCUGGUCGUUAUUUCGAGGCACGCAAUUAACGGGAGCCCUGCGUGCGGCCCAGCCCACGGGGAGCGAGGAGAUCAUGCCCGGAGCCGGCCAGGGGGCAGCGGGGGCAGCUCGCCCCAUCCCACCCGCGGGCAGCGGCGCAGCCUCAUCCGGGAGCCGCGGCCACACAAAUAA
RNAcentral lists this long non-coding RNA (1311 nucleotides) under Anas zonorhyncha (Eastern spot-billed duck). RNAcentral's name for it is "lncRNA (ENSAZOG00000016765.1)". Lineage: Eukaryota; Metazoa; Chordata; Aves; Anseriformes; Anatidae. The record is from RNAcentral.